RNAcentral lists this transfer RNA (77 nucleotides) under uncultured Gammaproteobacteria bacterium. It matches the Rfam family "tRNA". From Rfam's summary of the family: Transfer RNA (tRNA) molecules are approximately 80 nucleotides in length. Their secondary structure includes four short double-helical elements and three loops (D, anti-codon, and T loops). Lineage: Bacteria; Pseudomonadati; Pseudomonadota; Gammaproteobacteria. The record is from RNAcentral.
GCGCUCGUAGCUCAACUGGAUAGAGUAUUGGCCUCCGAAGCCAAAUGUUGGGUGUUCAAAUCACCUCGAGUGCACCA